Molecule: ribosomal RNA, 425 nt
Filed under: uncultured bacterium
Lineage: Bacteria
Description: partial 16S ribosomal RNA
Rfam family: Bacterial small subunit ribosomal RNA
Source: RNAcentral
GUUAGGAAUAUUGGACAAUGGGCGCAAGCCUGAUCCAGCCAUGCCGCGUGAGUGAUGAAGGCCUUCGGGUUGUAAAGCUCUUUAGCCGAUGAUUAUAAUGACUGUAGUCGGAAAAUAAGCCCCGGCUAACUUCGUGCCAGCAGCCGCGGUAAUACGAAGGGGGCGAGCGUUAUUCGGAAUCACUGGGCGUAAAGCGUGCGUAGGCGGCUUUGCAAGUUGGGAGUGAAAGCCCAGGGCUCAACCCUGGAAUUGCUCUCAAAACUGCAAGGCUCGAAUUCGGGAGAGGAUAGCGGAAUUGUCAGUGUAGCAGUGAAAUGCGUAGAUAUUGACAGGAACACCAGUGGCGUAAGCGGCUAUCUGGACCAAUAUUGACGCUGAGGCACGAAAGCGUGGGGAUCAAACAGGAUUAGAAACCCCAGUAGUCC